This 85-nucleotide non-coding RNA is filed under the name marine eukaryotic metagenome. RNAcentral's name for it is "TPP riboswitch (THI element)". It matches the Rfam family "TPP riboswitch aptamer (THI element)", at positions 7 to 92 of the family's 105-position model. From Rfam's summary of the family: Vitamin B(1) in its active form thiamin pyrophosphate (TPP) is an essential coenzyme that is synthesised by coupling of pyrimidine and thiazole moieties in bacteria. The previously detected thiamin-regulatory element, thi box was extended, resulting in a new, highly conserved RNA secondary structure, the THI element, which is widely distributed in eubacteria and also occurs in some archaea. The record is from RNAcentral.
CUCACGGGGAGCCCAUCGGGGGCUGAGAGGUGCGCUGCGCCGACCCGUUGAACCUGAUCCGGGUUAUGCCGGCGUAGGGAUUGAG